GCAAAAUGCUACAAGGCAGGGGGUCGUCGCUUGCCAUGGUGUUGUGAGGGCUCUCUUGGUUGCAAUGUGGGGGAGGACGUUGUGUCUAUAAAGUAGAGGUGUUGUGAUGGUUGGAACCUUGGCUAUGAUAGGGGCGUGGGAGAUGUUGCGACUACCGAAUAUGGGAUAUUGCAAUGGAUGGAACCUUGGCAAACCAGCUUGCAAUAUGGUUCAUCUUACAAGCUCUCGAGCACAACAAGGCUCAUGUUGCACAACACUCGAGAGAAAUACUAGGUGGGGUAUUACGGUGUCGUUGGAAUCCAAGGACCAAUGAUGCUUUGACAAAUGAUCCACGAGGCGACAAAACUUUUCUUGUUUUUAGUCGUCUGACGCCCAGUGUGGUCCCCUUUUUUUGAGGAACGGUUAGUCAUUGACAUGUUUCUAUGCAAUGUUUUAAGGAAAAGUAUUCAAUUCCAC
This 456-nucleotide long non-coding RNA is filed under the name Hordeum vulgare. RNAcentral describes it as "long non-coding RNA (HVUL_LNC003507)". Lineage: Eukaryota; Viridiplantae; Streptophyta; Magnoliopsida; Poales; Poaceae. The record is from RNAcentral.